CCGGCCUUAGCUCAGUUCAAGUUGGUAGUAGCGGCAGACUGUAACGGCGCCUUCGCUGAGAUUGCGGGCGUCACAGACAUCUGUAGGUCCCCGGCUCAACUCCGGGAGGCCGGA
Quaeritorhiza haematococci is the source of this 114-nucleotide non-coding RNA. The record is from the annotation of a GenBank genome assembly. Lineage: Eukaryota; Fungi; Chytridiomycota; Chytridiomycetes; Quaeritorhizaceae.